This 525-nucleotide ribosomal RNA is filed under the name Triticum aestivum (bread wheat). RNAcentral's name for it is "partial small subunit ribosomal RNA". Lineage: Eukaryota; Viridiplantae; Streptophyta; Magnoliopsida; Poales; Poaceae. The record is from RNAcentral.
AUGAAAAUACUUUUGAGUGAGUGCUCAGUUCUUUCAUUAGGUCCCAUCUGCUGCGCUUGGCGCAUGCUCCGAUUACGCCAAACAUCCGUGGGGCACAGCUUGCUCCCGACAGCCGCCAAGCCAUGCCUUCACCCCCAGUUCUGCCACACCACCUUGGAGCAUCGCCAGCCCACCUUCCCAGGCACCAUCACCCGUCGUCCAACCUCCCUCCCUGGCCAGGGGAGGAGAGGGGUCCUGAAUCUGGGCCUGCUCCUGGAGAGAUGGAACAGGGGAGCUGGACUCUGCAGUGCUGGGCAAGAAGGUCCAGCAAGGCAGUCGAUUGCACGAGGGCCAAGAGGAGCAGGUGAAGGAGGUGGUGAGGACGUCGGAGGUGGUGGUGGUGAGGACGUCGGAGGUGGUGGUGGUGAGGACGUCGGAGGUGGAGGUGGUGAGGACGUCGGAAGUGGUGGUGGAUGGCGGCGGCUGCGGCUUGAAACGCCGGCCAGGGGGAGGGGGGGAGAGCAAACACGAAAGCAAGAUAGCUGA